ACGGGAGGCAGCAGUGGGGAAUAUUGCACAAUGGGGGAAACCCUGAUGCAGCGAUGCCGCGUGGAGGAAGAAGGUUUUCGGAUUGUAAACUCCUGUCUUAAAGGACGAUAAUGACGGUACUUUAGGAGGAAGCUCCGGCUAACUACGUGCCAGCAGCCGCGGUAAUACGUAGGGAGCGAGCGUUGUCCGGAAUUACUGGGUGUAAAGGGAGCGUAGGCGGGAUUGCAAGUCAGAUGUGAAAUACAGGGGCUCAACCUCUGGGCUGCAUUUGAAACUGUAUCUCUUGAGUGCUGGAGAGGUAGAUGGAAUUCCUAGUGUAGCGGUGAAAUGCGUAGAUAUUAGGAAGAACACCAGUGGCGAAGGCGAUCUACUGGACAGUAACUGACGCUGAGGCGCGAAAGCGUGGGGAGCAAACAGGAUUAGAUACCCUGGUA
RNAcentral lists this ribosomal RNA (434 nucleotides) under uncultured Ruminococcus sp. Its description in RNAcentral is "partial 16S ribosomal RNA". It matches the Rfam family "Bacterial small subunit ribosomal RNA", at positions 341 to 792 of the family's 1533-position model. The record is from RNAcentral. Lineage: Bacteria; Bacillati; Bacillota; Clostridia; Eubacteriales; Oscillospiraceae.